Molecule: long non-coding RNA, 1186 nt
Filed under: Homo sapiens (human)
Lineage: Eukaryota; Metazoa; Chordata; Mammalia; Primates; Hominidae
Description: HSALNT0360145
Source: RNAcentral
CGCCGGGAGAAUUAGCUCGGCGCGGUGCAUGGGGCUAGAACUCAGGGCCCAGCAGGUCUGACAAUGCAGGUUUCCCCGCUCGCCUGUUGGGUUUUUGAAACGCCCUCAGCGGGGUUUUCCUCCUAAUUCUGGUUUGGAGGAGCCAUCUCUCUCCAUCCCGUCUGCCAGCGGGGUUUGCUUCACACACAGACGUGGGCAGAUGGCAUCGGGGACACAGGGAAACCUGACCUUAGAGGAAAUGGAAAAGUUGGAGAGACACUGAGCACUGAUACGAAAUAAUUCUCUUGCUGAAAUACACGAAAGGAGUCCCAGCAGCCAUAUUAGUAUUUCCACGUCCUGUGUCAGCCCCAAGUAGAGAGAACUUGGAAUGGGAGGGGAAAUGGCAGCCAUCAGGAAAUGAAAUGCUGGCCCAGAGAAUUCUAAGCAAGUCAAUCACCAGUCCAACUCUUCCGAAAACUUCCUUGUUUUGCCUUUUCAAACAUCAGGGGCGUGACUUAUAACAGCCAAAUUUUGCCAGCAUGCUGUGUCAUGGGUUCCAGUCCGUGGAGCUCCGUCAUACUCUGUUGGGCAUCCUGUGUCUUAUUCCUCUCUUUAGGUCCAGUUUCUACAUACCUUAUCUGUGUUAUCUCAGGCUUCAGAAGCUUCUCCGUAACGUGGGCUACUUUCCCCUCAUCACUGGGUAUUUAUUUAUUUAUUUUUACUGAAGCCUGAGCCCUGUAACGUUACCACACUGGCCACAGCUUCAGGAGAGAGAUCACUGCUCUCAAGAACUUACAGUCUAGUGAUGGAUACAAAGGUACAUGAAAAAAUAACUAGCAAUGGAAAACAAAGCAUGAAAUGCGAUGAAACGUGGUCAGGAUGCUAAGUGCUAUGACAUAUCACACUCGGAACCUCACUUUGCUCAUAUGAAAAGCUGGAGAGAAUCUUCCCAAGCUUAGCACAUCCUCAUAGGAUUUUGGUGAAAAUCAGAUGAGAUGAGGAAAGGCCAUGUGAGGACAUAAGGAGGAGACAGCCAUCUAUAAGCCAAGAAGAAAGCCCUCACUAGAAACCAACUCUAAUGGCACCCUGAUCUUGGAUUUCUAGCCCCUGGACAAUGAGAAAAUAAAUGUCUGUUGUUUAAGCACCUAGUCUGUGGUAUUUUGUUGUGGCAGCCCCAGCAGACUGACAUACACACCAUCUUACCAGC